Long non-coding RNA from Rhineura floridana, 1408 nucleotides. RefSeq lists it as uncharacterized. The transcript is spliced from 2 exons. The record is from RefSeq and is a predicted model, not a curated record. Lineage: Eukaryota; Metazoa; Chordata; Lepidosauria; Squamata; Rhineuridae.
CUUCACUGGAAAGCAGCAGAGAAAAACUGGGCCUUAGCCCAGUAGAACAAUGGCUUGCAUGUUUCUCUAACAUUCCCAGUGCAUGAAUUUAACUCAGAGGAAGGAACAGACAACCAACACUCCAUACAAAGAACAAUUGGCUACCUGACGAAAAAUGUGCUGGAACGAACCAUAGACGACAUCCUGUGCAAUUACACACCCUUCGGUUAAUGUAGCACCCUCAACCAGUGGUGAAUGCGAUUGCGGAACUCAGAAAUUCCACAAACGAAGUUAUUCGUCUGUGUAGGUGACAUGACAGACAAAGCGUUAAAUUUCUGUAUGUAUAGCCUACAGGGCACUGGAUCUCUACCAGAAACAACUUGCCGGCAACCCCUAUAGCGACCCUGUUGUAAACGCAAGCAGGACGAGUAAAUAGUGACUUAAAGGGCCAAUUUGAACGUUGAAGUGCAUCCUAUUUCUGCCUGUAAUGUUUCUGACCAGAUAGCGCUUUCGGGUAUAAAAUCCGGGGGCGGUGCUUACUUCGUAAUAUUCACGCAAUUCAUAAAGGGGUGUGUUCCGAUGGACGCGACUCUAGAAACUUGUAAGGAUCACGUUAUGACUCGCCUGGCAGAACGAACUGGGAAAACAUACGAAGUUCUUCCCUCCUUUCCUCAUUGGUGUAUUUUUUUAGUUUUGCUGACAGGCUAGAGUCGCCGCCCAUCACUCUCCCCCCGCCCCAGCUAUGUCACUCCUCCCGCCCAAACUUGGAAAACGGCGCUCAUGCUUUUCUUUUAAAGGGCCAGAAGGCGACUUCCUUGUUACUCUCCUUUCCUCCGUCUGCUGAUACCCGCUGCGACCUCCUCCCAGCUUCAGAUGCUCGCAAGCACUUAAGGCUUGCUACAGCUAUGCGCUCCAUCAGGGUUGUUCCAGGAGUACUGCAGCCUCCCGUGAUCCAGUGGAGAAGCGGGGCGGGAUACUGUUUGGAGAUGGGACUUCCCAUGGGCACUGGCAGAGCCAGCUACUCGACCAAGGCUCGAGGCAGUGAGGAAUGGCCGUCACCACCAUCAACAGCAGCUUACAGAACAGUACCUGCACCACUGAGCAGCUAGCCACGCUGGCAUCCCUGCACAAAUUCUCCUAGCCCACUUUGCUUGUUUGUUUCUUUUCUUUGCACAAUAACUGGCUGACAAAUGUUAUAAUACGUAAGAGAACUGGAAGGCAACAGAGAUGUGGUGAAAAUAAAAAACUGCAUACGGAGUGAGGUAACGUGAUAGAUGUGAUUCUUGAAUUAUGACGCACUUAGGGCUUCACGCGCUGCCAAGGCUUCCGUGCCCAACAAACAUCUCUCUCUGCGCAGAGGCAGAGAAAAGAAGCCGGGUUGUCAGACUUCCAGCUGAAUACAUUAAAGGGCUGAUGCCUUUUGUUGUUU